RNAcentral lists this ribosomal RNA (260 nucleotides) under Microbacteriaceae bacterium ISO160_OTU6747. RNAcentral describes it as "partial 16S ribosomal RNA". It matches the Rfam family "Bacterial small subunit ribosomal RNA", at positions 29 to 289 of the family's 1533-position model. Lineage: Bacteria; Bacillati; Actinomycetota; Actinomycetes; Micrococcales; Microbacteriaceae. The record is from RNAcentral.
ACGAACGCUGGCGGCGUGCUUAACACAUGCAAGUCGAACGAUGAUCCCCAGCUUGCUGGGGUGAUUAGUGGCGAACGGGUGAGUAACACGUGAGUAACCUGCCCUUGACUCUGGGAUAAGCGUUGGAAACGACGUCUAAUACCGGAUACGACCAGCCCCGGCAUCGGGUGUUGGUGGAAAGAAUUUUGGUCAAGGAUGGACUCGCGGCCUAUCAGGUAGUUGGUGAGGUAAUGGCUCACCAAGCCUACGACGGGUAGCCG